This 403-nucleotide ribosomal RNA is filed under the name uncultured bacterium. Its description in RNAcentral is "partial 16S ribosomal RNA". It matches the Rfam family "Bacterial small subunit ribosomal RNA", at positions 30 to 526 of the family's 1533-position model. The record is from RNAcentral.
AUUGAACGCUGGCGGCAGGCCUAACACAUGCAAGUCGAGCGAGCGGCGGACGGGUGAGUAAUGUAUAGGGACUGCCCGAUAGAGGGGGAUAACUACUGGAAACGGUAGCUAAUACCGCAUACUAUCGGAUAACCCAUAUGGGAUUAGCUAGUAGGUGAGGUAAUGGCUCACCUAGGCGACGAUCCGUAGCUGGUUUGGGAGGACGACCAGCCACACUGGGACUGAGACACGGCCCAGACUCCUACGGAGGCAGCAGGGGGGAAGUUGGGACAACGGGGGAAACCCUGAUCCAGCCAUCCCGCGUGUAUGAUGAAGGCCUUCGGGUUGUAAAGUACUUUUGGCUGAGAAGCGGUAUCUGCAGAAUAAGCACCGGCUAACUACGUGCCAGCAGCCGCGGUAAUUC